GAUUUCUUCUUUUAAUCAACUUUUCUUCUUUUUCUUUUGAUUCUCCACCUUUAAAUAGACAUGCUAAUCGUUUGAGAAGGAGUUCUAGCCAUUGGAAUAAAGAAAAUAGCCAUUGGAAGUGAUUGGGGGCAAAAGACUGAAGUUCUGAAAACUAACCAUUACAAUCAGCUACAGUAACUAGAUCGAUUAAGUUUUUCACUGGGUUGACUAAAUGCUAGAUCAGCUCAGUUUUUUUUCAAUUUUUUACUGGAUCAGCUCAGUCUGAGAUUCAAAAAUUUUAAUUUUCUAUUUUCUGUAUCCACUCAGACU
This 309-nucleotide long non-coding RNA is filed under the name Elaeis guineensis (African oil palm). RNAcentral describes it as "long non-coding RNA (EGUI_LNC077773)". The record is from RNAcentral. Lineage: Eukaryota; Viridiplantae; Streptophyta; Magnoliopsida; Arecales; Arecaceae.